This 555-nucleotide long non-coding RNA is filed under the name Androctonus crassicauda. Lineage: Eukaryota; Metazoa; Arthropoda; Arachnida; Scorpiones; Buthidae. The record is from RNAcentral.
GACCCGCGCCUGGCCAGUUGAUGGCGUCGUACUUAAGUUUCUCUUUUUCUUAAAUUAUCUUUUAGAUGACAUUCAGGAUUUUCUUCAUUGGAUUCUGAAAAUCUUUCCCGUGUAGCUAUCUUUUCCAUUUGUAAUAUGUGUCUUUUCCAAUGUUCUCUAUUAGAAUUCUGUCGAUCUUCUAACGUUUCAUUUUUUCGAAUUAAGCGCAAUCUUUUAGCAGCGGGAGUUAAUCUAUUUAAAGAGUACCCUCUUUUUCCUGCCAUUAUCAAAUUUAUACGAAACUACCAUAUACAAAAACUUUAUAUGAAAACAGCGGGUGAAACGACACAGUCUCGAGCCAAGAGCAUCAAGAAACACGUGCAUUAAUCUCGAAUACACAUUCUUCUACAUAAUAAAAACUUCAUUAGUGAAAAUCAUGAAAUGGUCACAAAUUGAAAAAUGCUGAUAGAUUAAACAAAAUCGGUAGCCGCGUAAAUAAUUCGAAAAUUUUUAUAAAAUUCCAUUAUUGUAAGUCAAAUUGUACGUUGCUACGGCCAUGACGGUUUCGACUCUUCA